This 902-nucleotide ribosomal RNA is filed under the name Agrocybe praecox. RNAcentral's name for it is "eukaryotic LSU rRNA". It matches the Rfam family "Eukaryotic large subunit ribosomal RNA", at positions 51 to 938 of the family's 3401-position model. Lineage: Eukaryota; Fungi; Basidiomycota; Agaricomycetes; Agaricales; Agrocybaceae. The record is from RNAcentral.
CGGAGGAAAAGAAACUAACAAGGAUUCCCCUAGUAACUGCGAGUGAAGCGGGAAAAGCUCAAAUUUAAAAUCUGGCGGUCUUUGGCCGUCCGAGUUGUAAUCUAGAGAAGUGUUAUCCGCGCUGGACCGUGUACAAGUCUCCUGGAAUGGAGCGUCAUAGAGGGUGAGAAUCCCGUCUUUGACACGGACUGCCAGGGCUUUGUGAUGCGCUCUCAAAGAGUCGAGUUGUUUGGGAAUGCAGCUCCAAAUGGGUGGUAAAUUCCAUCUAAAGCUAAAUAUUGGCGAGAGACCGAUAGCGAACAAGUACCGUGAGGGAAAGAUGAAAAGAACUUUGGAAAGAGAGUUAAACAGUACGUGAAAUUGCUGAAAGGGAAACGCUUGAAGUCAGUCGCGUUGGCCGGGAAUCAACCUUGCUUUUGCUGGGCGUACUUUCCGGUCGACGGGUCAGCAUCAAUUUCGAUCGUUGGAUAAAGUCUAGAGGAAUGUGGCAUCUUCGGGUGUGUUAUAGCCUCUGGUCGCAUACAACGGUUGGGAUUGAGGAACUCAGCACGCCGCAAGGCCGGGUACUCGUACCACGUUCGUGCUUAGGAUGCUGGCAUAAUGGCUUUAAUCGACCCGUCUUGAAACACGGACCAAGGAGUCUAACAUGCCUGCGAGUGUUUGGGUGGAAAACCCGAGCGCGUAAUGAAAGUGAAAGUUGAGAUCCCUGUCGCGGGGAGCAUCGACGCCCGGACCAGACCUUUUGUGACGGUCCCGCGGUAGAGCAUGUAUGUUGGGACCCGAAAGAUGGUGAACUAUGCCUGAAUAGGGUGAAGCCAGAGGAAACUCUGGUGGAGGCUCGUAGCGAUUCUGACGUGCAAAUCGAUCGUCAAAUUUGGGUAUAGGGGCGAAAGACUAAUCGA